UAUUCCCAGAUGUGAAAUUCAACACCUCUUCCAUAAACAUCAGCACCUACACUGCACAGAAACACAUAGCAGGAUUUGAAGAAGAUCUCAUGUAGCAUAAGGAGAGAGCUGAUGUCACAGUAACCACGUAACCUGAAAACUAAGGUAACAUGGAUCUCUCCCAGGAGUGAUGGAAUACAAAUACUGGCUCACCUGUGGCAUCAGAAGAAAAAUAGCACCUCUCUGAAAGCAGGCUCUUUUUCAUGAACGUCUACUGGGUGCUCAUAAGAAAGAAUGGUGGUGCGGAGAAGAUUGGACAGUAUCUCCUUGGUGAGGCAGGCUAGAGAGAAGAAGAACCACCAGUGUAGAAAGAAAUGAAAUGCACUAAAGACCCUACAAAACAAAACCCCGAAAUCCCUGAGGAAAAGGUAGUACAUCUCAGCAUCCCUAGAACAUGGUGAAGACCCAUUGUAGCUGCAAUAUAUGUCGAAGAAAAGAAACCCGGCACUGUAGAAAGGAAGAAAUGCAUCCUGUGCCCAGACCAUGAGAAAUCACUGUCUGUUGGGAGAGGAGCUGAGUCACAGAGAAAUGACCACUCAUGCAGCAUAGCAACACAGGUCCCUAAGAUUGAAACAGGACUGAAACAGGACAACUAAGAACCCACCGUCAUACCUACCACCCACUUUAGCAAACAUCAAAACGUAAGAAAGAGAGGACUACUGCUGAGAGAAGGACAGAAGGGUAGAGAAAAGAUCUAUUCAUAGUAAAGGCACACCUGGACAGCCUAAGGUCUCUGUGAAAAAUUGAAGGGAAAACCACUCACCCAUGUAUCCAUAAUUUCUUGGUAUAUGAUUCUCUUCAAACCAACUAAACUCCUGUCUAAAUUACCUCAAUUCGCAAGUCAAUAACCUAGCAGAAAGAGUUGGUCCAUUUCCAGGCAUAAGUACUGUGCAGUUUCUGCUUUCUAAAUACUAUAUCUGACAAUGAAUGGAAACAUUCAAGAUACAAAAAAGCAAGGAAAAAACCCCACAAUACGCUAUCAGGAGACAAUAUCUUCAACAGAAUGAGACUAAGAGAGCCAUAUAUGUUGGAAUUAGUAGGUAGAAAAUUCAAAUUAACUAUGAUUACUAUGAUAACAUCUCUCAUGAAAAAGUUAUAAACAAAUAAGAAACUUCAGCAGAAAGUUAGAAACUCUAAGAGUAAAAUGGAAAUAACAAAUUCAGCUUAAAUUUGAUUGCUGUAUACAUGACUAUUUUUAUAUCUUGUUACUCUUUCCCUCUUGUUACUUUAAUCUAUUGCAUUUUUUAUAUUUAAAAUAAAUUGUUUAUUCUAGGCACA
RNAcentral lists this long non-coding RNA (1317 nucleotides) under Homo sapiens (human). RNAcentral's name for it is "HSALNT0070533". The record is from RNAcentral. Lineage: Eukaryota; Metazoa; Chordata; Mammalia; Primates; Hominidae.